RNAcentral lists this ribosomal RNA (497 nucleotides) under uncultured bacterium. RNAcentral's name for it is "partial 16S ribosomal RNA". It matches the Rfam family "Bacterial small subunit ribosomal RNA", at positions 28 to 507 of the family's 1533-position model. The record is from RNAcentral.
GAUGAACGCUGGCGGCGUGCCUAAUACAUGCAAGUCGAGCGAACAGACGAGGAGCUUGCUCCUCUGACGUUAGCGGCGGACGGGUGAGUAACACGUGGAUAACCUACCUAUAAGACUGGGAUAACUUCGGGAAACCGGAGCUAAUACCGGAUAAUAUAUUGAACCGCAUGGUUCAAUAGUGAAAGACGGUUUUGCUGUCACUUAUAGAUGGAUCCGCGCCGCAUUAGCUAGUUGGUAAGGUAACGGCUUACCAAGGCAACGAUGCGUAGCCGACCUGAGAGGGUGAUCGGCCACACUGGAACUGAGACACGGUCCAGACUCCUACGGGAGGCAGCAGUAGGGAAUCUUCCGCAAUGGGCGAAAGCCUGACGGGGCAACGCCGCGUGAGUGAUGAAGGUCUUCGGAUCGUAAAACUCUGUUAUUAGGGAAGAACAAAUGUGUAAGUAACUAUGCACGUCUUGACGGUACCUAAUCAGACCGCGACGGCUACCUACGUG